RNAcentral lists this unclassified non-coding RNA (2498 nucleotides) under Dermacentor andersoni. RNAcentral's name for it is "zinc finger transcription factor family protein 17- like". The record is from RNAcentral. Lineage: Eukaryota; Metazoa; Arthropoda; Arachnida; Ixodida; Ixodidae.
GCAGCCCACGCAGUUCGUGCGUGAUUGCGGGCCGGAGGAGAGAGAUAUGCACAAGAGAGGAUAUCUGCCACGCCUUCCGACGUCACUCAUGCUUCGCAAAGAGUGACGUCAGCAUCUCUCAGCUUUUUCUUUCCUCCAUGGUCAGAGCACCCGCAGAUAUAGAAGGCCCGCUUGCACGCACUGAGCAUAGUUACGUAAUCGGUUUUUAGGAAACCCCAUGCUUCUCUUCGCGGUCUCGCAAUGGCGAAAGUUGCUUCCUUUGAAUGUCAGUACUGCGACCUGCGGUUAGCGAACAAUCGCAGUCUGCAGAGGCACAUAAAACUUGUGCACAAAAUCACUCACCCGAAGUACAACUGCGACGAGUGUGAAGUAGCCCCGACUUUGAAAGAACUGGAGUACCGCCAUAUCAGCGUGCAUUUCUUCGAGCCAGAAUAUGAGAGGUAUCACUUUCUGACAAUGCCAGCUUUCAAGUCAUUGAAGGAAAAGGUGGAGAAAGACACACGCAGUCACUUCAUUGCAAGGACAGGUACAGAGACUUGCGGCCACCUGAAAAAGAAGCAUUUCUACUUCGUCUGUCACCGGUCAGGAAGUUAUGCUUCACAAGCUACAAGUAAACAAAAGCUGAAGCGGCCUUCAAGUGUCAAGUGUGGAAAAAGAUGUUUUGCGGCAAUGGCUGUGACUGAAGACAACACAGGUGUGUAUGUGGUUUUCCAAUUCAAGCACAGAGGCCACGACUUUGAACUGGGUCGUGUUUUUCUGUCCAAGUCGGAAAGAGCUGCUAUUGCUGACAAGCUGCGAGAAGGCGUGUCCAUGGAUGCAGUACUGGAUAAUGUGCGGUCCAACGUGGAUGAGACAUUCCACCGCAUUAACCUGUUAAGCAAGCAGGAUCUCCGCAAAAUAAUGAGGGAUGCCAGAGUCUUGAAGACCGAGCGGCUGCACGAUAAUGACUAUGUGAGCGUGCAACUCUGGGUUGAGAGGAUGCAUAGUGAAAAGGAAAACCCAUUGCUCUUCUUUAAACACCAAGGACAACCUGACAAAAAGUGACAUUUUUUUAGAGAAAAAAAUGAGGACCUUUUGGAUGACAGAGAUUUUAUGCUAGUCAUCAUGACCACACCACAACAGGAGCUUUUCAAGAGGCUUGGAACUGAUCGUAUAUGUGUCGAUGGAACACAUGGAACAGCAGAUCCACUGGCCACUGUAAUCACCAUGGCGGGAACGCUAGGCCUAGGUAUGCUAUUACGGUUCUUGACAUUCGGUGCUGUCUUUUUCAUUGAAAGAAUUCACCGCUGUCAGCAAAGGUACCCACUCUGCCUCUGCAAUCCUCGUAAAGCACGGCGCGUUGCAUAUUGCUAGUCCUCGAAAGGCAGCUUUGCCUCAGCACAGUGAUGCUACGCGGUGAAGUGUAUGGGACGCAGCACAUAUAUUGUUAGACUCACGUGCACUUGCAGUCUCCUGUCAGAGUGCAAGCACCUAUAUGCCUAAUAAGUGUACUGGCAGACCUUCAGAGCUUUUACGGACGUGCCUGUGGCGAUUUGGGCCCUUAAGGGCAGUAAAAGACAUGCAUUCAUUUUUUUUUCGGACAUUGUAGCGGCCCUUAGGGAGUCUGAAAAAUCGGACUGUACAACUGACCAAAAGGAUGCUUCAUCCAUGGGGCGAACACGCAGCGUAACAAGGACAAGAAUAGGAAGGACCAUUGCAUCGAGGAAUGAUCAGGAAAGGAACUGUGCCGCCGCCUCUUUGAAGGAGCUUGCGCUCAAAAAGCAAAGUGUUGGCUGACGCUAAGAUGCAGGUUACCCACAUCCAAACCAAAAUAAAUCUCUUAAAGCAAUGAAAUGCAACACUGAGGCAUUAUGGGCAGGCUGAGAGUAUGUCAAGACAGUUGAGGUUGACUUUCCAGUUGCUUGGAGAAUCUCAUAUGUGACAAAGUUCGGGCAUGAUACCAAUGAGCUUGCUAUCAGUUGAUACAAAUAGCUAUUUGCUUUUGUAUGCAUCUCUUUUUAUUCGCAUUUUAAAAUGUUUGACUCUAUUUGCCGUGAGCUAGACCACUUUUUUUACAGUGAAGCUGUCUAUGGUGAGGAUCUGGCAGAUCGCAUUUGCACAUAGACCAACAAUUUUUCAUACGGUGGGCCGAUCCCGAAGAAAGUGCAAUACCAGGCCAACCCGAGGCAGAAGUGAAGCAAGCAUUAAGCACUCCCCAUAUGUGGGCUGAUCCCGAAGGUCGUGAAAUGCCAGUCAAACCUGCGGCGGAGAUGAAGCAGGCUUUAAGCACUCCCCCACACAUGGGCCAAUCCCAUAGGUAGUGCAAUACCAGGCCGACCCGCGGUAGAGGUGCAGUUCACCAUUAAGGGGCCCACGUACGCAGCUUUGCUGGUCAUCCUUCACAGAGUAAAAGGGCACCGAGUUUCUUCCGAAGAUAUUUUAGUAGCUGUGCAUUUUACAAACCCCUCUUUUCAGUUUUCUAUUUUGAAUAAAAUAAACACUACUCCUUACUGUUCAAA